RNAcentral lists this long non-coding RNA (1174 nucleotides) under Monodelphis domestica (gray short-tailed opossum). RNAcentral's name for it is "lncRNA (ENSMODG00000043339.1)". The record is from RNAcentral. Lineage: Eukaryota; Metazoa; Chordata; Mammalia; Didelphimorphia; Didelphidae.
GCAGAAGAAACCCAUAGUCCUUGUAACAGCUCUGGGGAUCCAACUGCCUGUGAGAGCUUCUUGGUCAUCAUCUUUUUUUAAAAAGCCUCUUACUUUCUGUCUUCCUAACAAUUCUUAGACAGAAGGAAAAGGUGGUUUAGUGACGUAUAUGGUGCUAGAACAUGUCUAAAGUGAAAUUUGAACCCAGGUCCUUGACUCAAGACCUGGUGCUCUAUCCACUCUGUGACCUAGCUGGCCCUAGCUACCUUUUUAUAGAAACAAUUGGCCAUGAAUUCUCACAUGAAAGGAAGUUGUGUCUCUAGCAAAAAAAAAAAAUAAAUAAAUAAAAUGAAAUGAAAAAUAAUAAGUUUGAGAAGCAUUACUCUCUUCCCACCAGGUUCAUUCUUUCAUUACCAGAAUAUCCUCUCUCCAUUAAUCAGUGAGGUGAUUCUUUUCUUUCUUUAAGGCUCUUAUCAAGUGCUAUUUCUACCAAGAAGUCUUCUUUCACAGCCUGCCUGUACUCCCUACCUUCCCCCUAACCCCCACCCCCAUUCUAUUAGGUCACAUAGUCUUAUGGUACUUCCUCUGAGGCUGCCUCCUUUGGCGUGGCUUACUAAGCAAAAUUAAAAUUUGUUUACUAUUGAAGAGAGGCUAAAAUCGUUUUCAGUUUGCCAGCAGAAAAAAUUGACCCCUCCAAUGAUUUGUUCUUUGGCUCCCUUACCACUGUGUUGGCUCAGAAUGAGUCUCUGUAAUCCUCUCUGAUGGGUCUUUUUUUAUUUGAAUGUUGCCUAGAAAUUCCUCUUCUAUUCUGUAUUCACGCAGUUGAUUUUAAGGCACACACACCUGUUUGAAUGCCUUCUGUUUUCUGGCCAUGCCCACAGAAGUGGAGAGAGAUGCUCCUACAGCCUAACAGCUAGCAAUGUUUUCAGCACCCCCGCUUCAGCUUGCAUUCAGAGGACAGAGUGUCGGCAAGGCAACAGCAAUGCUUCCCUAUUGGGACUGGCUGACUGCCUACCAUGGAGUGCGCUGAUAUGCACAUGGGCGCUUUUGGUGCUGAGAAUGAGCUUAACACUGGAAGUGUCAGAACAGAAAUGAUUAACAAGAAGCUGAUGUUCUAGAUAUGUAAGGUGACAGUAAGAGACUAGUUCACUCUCCCUGCUGAAUUCAAGUUGAUAUUGAUGAAUGAUAUCCUGAG